Molecule: ribosomal RNA, 440 nt
Filed under: uncultured bacterium
Lineage: Bacteria
Description: partial 16S ribosomal RNA
Rfam family: Bacterial small subunit ribosomal RNA
Source: RNAcentral
CCUACGGGUGGCAGCAGUGGGGAAUAUUGGACAAUGGGGGGAACCCUGAUCCAGCGACGCCGCGUGAGUGAAGAAGUAUUUCGGUAUGUAAAGCUCUAUCAGCAGGGAAGAAAAUUACGGUACCUGACUAAGACGCCCCUGCUAACUACGUGCCAGCAGCCGCGGUAAUACGGAGGGGGCAAGCGUUAUCCGGAUUUACUGGGUGUAAGGGGAUCGUUGCCGGUGCAGAAAGCAUGAUGUAAAAGGUCGGGGCCAACCCCCGGGACUGCAAUGGAAACUGUUGAACUGGAGUACGGGAGCGGUAAGAGGAAUGGCUGGUGUAGCGGUGAAAUGCGUAGAUAUUAGGCAGAACACCAGUGGCGAAGGCGGCUUACUGGACCGUAACUGACGUUGAGGCUCGAAAGCGUGGGGAGCAAACAGGAUUAGAUACCCGGGUAGUC